This 243-nucleotide ribosomal RNA is filed under the name uncultured bacterium. Its description in RNAcentral is "partial 16S ribosomal RNA". It matches the Rfam family "Bacterial small subunit ribosomal RNA", at positions 15 to 236 of the family's 1533-position model. The record is from RNAcentral.
GAUCCUGGCUCAGGAUGAACGCUGGCGGCGUGCUUAACACAUGCAAGUCGAGCGAAGCACUUAAGUUCGAUUCUUCGGAUGAAGACUUUUGUGACUGAGCGGCGGACGGGUGAAGGUAACGCGUGGGUAACCUGCCUCAUACGAGGGGGAUAACAGUUAGAAAUGGCUGCUAAUACCGCAUAAGACCACAGUACUGCAUGGUACAGUGGUAAAAACUCCGGUGGUAUGAGAUGGACCCGGCGU